UACGUAGGGGGCAAGCGUUGUCCGGAUUCAUUGGGCGUAAAGAGCGUGUAGGCGGCCAGGUAGGUCGGUUGUGAAAACUGGAGGCUCAACCUUCAGAGGUCGACCGAAACCAUCUGGCUAGAGUCCGGGAGAGGAGAGUGGAAUUCCUGGUGUAGCGGUGAAAUGCGCAGAUAUCAGGGAGAACACCCGUGGCGAAAGCGGCUCUCUGGAACGGUACUGACGCUGAGACGCGAAAGCUAGGGGAGCGAACGGG
RNAcentral lists this ribosomal RNA (253 nucleotides) under uncultured bacterium. RNAcentral describes it as "partial 16S ribosomal RNA". It matches the Rfam family "Bacterial small subunit ribosomal RNA", at positions 524 to 776 of the family's 1533-position model. The record is from RNAcentral.